Hibiscus syriacus is the source of this 428-nucleotide long non-coding RNA. RefSeq lists it as uncharacterized. Lineage: Eukaryota; Viridiplantae; Streptophyta; Magnoliopsida; Malvales; Malvaceae. The record is from RefSeq and is a predicted model, not a curated record. The transcript is spliced from 5 exons.
GGAAAUUGAGACUUCGACUUUCUUACGCUAGCGCACUCUCUCUCACUCCUUCCACAAUCUUCUGGUUCCUUCCUUUCUCCCUUUCUUCCCCCUUUUUGAUCUCCCCUCUCCCAAAACUCUCUUCCUUUUGUUUCGUCUUCAAAACAUUCAAAUCUACGGUGUCGGAUCAAGAAACUGAAUCGGAAGCUUGUGCAUACAUUGGGCUAGUUUUCAUGCUUUGCUGGCCAUUAUUCAGGAUUUUGCUUUGCUAUAUGCCCGUCGAGAGAGGAGACCGAUAAGGUGAGUUGCUGCAAUUGUCACAGUAAGAAGACUUUGCUUGGGGUGCUAAUUGAGUUGAGACACUCGAAUUUAAAUCGACUGUGAGGAACACGUUUUUCAGGAAACAAAGAUAUCAUGCCGAGGAGAAAAAUAAAUUAUUUGCGGGUUGU